Molecule: ribosomal RNA, 926 nt
Filed under: uncultured Pseudomonadota bacterium
Lineage: Bacteria; Pseudomonadati; Pseudomonadota
Description: bacterial SSU rRNA
Rfam family: Bacterial small subunit ribosomal RNA
Source: RNAcentral
CAAGUCGAGUGCGCGUUUUCCGUAGCAAUACGGAAAUGGCGCACGGCGCACGGGUGCGUAACACGUGGGUAAUCUGCCCUCUGAUGGGGAAUAACUCGCCGAAAGGCGAGCUAAUACCGCAUAACAUUCCUUGGACUCCGGUUCGAGGAUUCAAAGGCGUAAGUCGUCGGAGGUGGAGCCCGCGCACGAUUAGCUAGUUGGUGAGGUAAUGGCUCACCAAGGCUAUGAUCGUUAGCUGGUCUGAGAGGAUGGCCAGCCACACUGGAACUGAGACACGGUCCAGACUCCUACGGGAGGCAGCAGUGGGGAAUCUUGCACAAUGGGCGAAAGCCUGAUGCAGCGACGCCGCGUGGGGGAUGAAGCUUCUCGGAGUGUAAACCCCUUUCGACCGGGACGAAUACCUCGCAAGAGGGGUGACGGUACCGGUAUAAGAAGCCCCGGCUAACUACGUGCCAGCAGCCGCGGUAAGACGUAGGGGGCCAGCGUUGCUCGGAAUUACUGGGUGUAAAGGGUUCGUAGGCGGUGUGGCAAGUCGGGAGUGAAAUCUCUGAGCUUAACUCAGGGGCUGCUUCCGAAACUGCUGUGCUAGAGUGUGGGAGAGGCGCGUGGAAUUGCAGGUGUAGCGGUGAAAUGCGUAGAUAUCUGCAGGAACACCCGUGGCGAAAGCGGCGCGCUGGACCACUACUGACGCUGAGGAACGAAAGCUAGGGGAGCAAACAGGAUUAGAUACCCUGGUAGUCCUAGCCCUAAACGAUCAGGACUUGGGGUGCCACCCGUUCGGGUGUCGUCCCGGAGCUAACGCGUUAAGUCCUGCACCUGGGGAGUACGGUCGCAAGACUGAAACUCAAAGGAAUUGACGGGGGCCCGCACAAGCGGUGGAACAUGUGGUUCAAUUCGACGCUACGCGAGGAACCUUACCUGGGCUC